AGAGUUUUUUCCGGGCUCAGGAUGAACGCUAGCGGGAGGCUUAACACAUGCAAGUCGAGGGGCAGCGCGGGUGGCAACACCUGGCGGCGACCGGCGGACGGGUGAGUAACACGUAUGCAACCUGCCCUGCACAGGGGAAUAGCCCGGAGAAAUCCGGAUUAAUGCCCCAUGGUCCACUGGGUCCGCAUGGAUCUGGUGGUAAAGAUUCAUCGGUGCAGGAUGGGCAUGCGUUCCAUUAGCUAGUUGGCGGGGCAACGGCCCACCAAGGCGACGAUGGAUAUGGGGUCUAAAAGGAUGGUCCCACACAUUGGCACUGAGAUACGGGCCAAACUCCUACGGGAGGCAGCAGUGAGGAAUAUUGGUCAAUGGGCGAGAGCCUGAACCAGCCAUCCCGCGUGCAGGAUGAAGGUCUUACAGAUUGUAAACUGCUUUUGCAGGGGACGAAUAAGGGUCACGCGUGGCCCGAUGACAGUACUCUGUGAAUAAGCAUCGGCUAACUCCGUGCCAGCAGCCGCGGUAAUACGGAGGAUGCGAGCGUUAUCCGGAUUUAUUAGGUUUAAAGGGUGCGUAGGCGGGGCUUUAAGUCAGCGGUAAAAUCAUAUAGCUUAACUAUAUCAAGCCAUUGAUACUGGAGUCCUUGAGUACGGUUGAGGCUGGCGGAAUGUGUUGUGUAGCGGUGAAAUGCUUAGAUAUGACACAGAACACCGAUUGCGAAGGCAGCUAGCUAAGCCGGCACUGACGCUGAGGCACGAAAGCGUGGGGAUCAAACAGGAUUAGAUACCCUGGUAGUCCACGCUGUAAA
Molecule: ribosomal RNA, 802 nt
Filed under: uncultured bacterium
Lineage: Bacteria
Description: bacterial SSU rRNA
Rfam family: Bacterial small subunit ribosomal RNA
Source: RNAcentral